This 252-nucleotide ribosomal RNA is filed under the name uncultured bacterium. RNAcentral's name for it is "partial 16S ribosomal RNA". It matches the Rfam family "Bacterial small subunit ribosomal RNA", at positions 524 to 776 of the family's 1533-position model. The record is from RNAcentral.
UACGUAGGGAGCGAGCGUUGUCCGGAAUUACUGGGUGUAAAGGGAGCGUAGGCGGGGAUGCAAGUUGGGUGUCAAAACUACCGGCCCAACUGGUAGUCGCACUCAAAACUGCAGCUCUUGAGUGAAGUAGAGGCAGGCGGAAUUCCUAGUGUAGCGGUGAAAUGCGUAGAUAUUAGGAGGAACACCAGUGGCGAAGGCGGCCUGCUGGGCUUUUACUGACGCUGAGGCUCGAAAGUGUGGGGAGCAAACAGG